GGGGUUGUGGCUCAGUGGUAGAGUGCUCGCUUAGCACGUGUGAGGCGCUGGGUUCAAUCCUCAGCAUCACCU
Ictidomys tridecemlineatus (thirteen-lined ground squirrel) is the source of this 72-nucleotide non-coding RNA. NCBI's taxonomy places the organism in Eukaryota, Metazoa, Chordata, Mammalia, Rodentia, Sciuridae. The record is from Rfam.